Molecule: ribosomal RNA, 245 nt
Filed under: uncultured marine eukaryote
Lineage: Eukaryota
Description: partial 18S ribosomal RNA
Rfam family: Eukaryotic small subunit ribosomal RNA
Source: RNAcentral
GGUUAAAAAGCUCGUAGUUGGAUUUCUGUUGAGGGCGACCGGUGUACACCUCGUGUAUUAUUUGGUUCGGUCUCGGCAUCCUCUUGGGGAACGUUUCUGGACUUUAUUGGACAGGGCGAGAUUCAAGACUUUUACUUUGAGGAAAUUAGAGUGUUCACGGCAGGCAAGCGCUUUGAAUACAUUAGCAUGGAAUAAUAAUAUAGGACCUUCGUUCUAUUUUGUUGGUUUCUAGAACUUAGGUAAUU